GCGCAGAUUGAAAGGAGAGCAAGUUAGCACUCCCCUAGACAAGGAUGAAAUCAUAUAAAUGACUGGAAAAGGCACUAGGCUUCAGAUGUAGAGAUGAUGCUGCCCCGUCAUAUC
Molecule: non-coding RNA, 114 nt
Organism: Glossina palpalis gambiensis
Lineage: Eukaryota; Metazoa; Arthropoda; Insecta; Diptera; Glossinidae
Source: Rfam